RNAcentral lists this small RNA (1910 nucleotides) under Cryptococcus neoformans H99. Its description in RNAcentral is "Cryptococcus neoformans var. grubii H99 hypothetical RNA". Lineage: Eukaryota; Fungi; Basidiomycota; Tremellomycetes; Tremellales; Cryptococcaceae. The record is from RNAcentral.
CGUCCUUCAAUAACGACGCGAGCAAAGUACAUACUGACCAUGGCCAGUCUCAGGAAUAUAAGGACUACUCUGUCGAGGACUAAAAUGAACGCAAGAUCUUCCACCUUCCACUUGCCGACGACUUCUUCUGGCAACCUUCCGUUCUCGUCCUUCUUUCCCUUCUUCUUCCCACCCUUUUUCGCUGCUCUUUCCUCUGCUUUUUUCGCUUCUCUCCUCGCAAGAGUUAACAAUGCCUCCACAGGGCCCCUCAGCUGACGGUAUUCGUUUUGAACGGCUAAAAGAGGCUCGAGUGACGCUUGUGCUCUGGAAAGAAUAUCGUGGGAAGCGGGGUGUGUGAUCAAGGACGGGAGGUGAGCGUCUAAGAUCAGAGAGGUGUGCGUGACAAGGGAUUGUAGAGAUGGAAGAUUGUCGUCUUUCUCCUCGGACACAGACUCAUCCCAGCCCUUUAAUCCCUGGGACAAAGUCUCGACGUAGUCUUCCAUCCACUGAACGAGGACUUUUAAUACGGCCGCAGCAUCCUCCACUGAGAGGAUCACAUAUAAGUCCAAUCGGUAGGAAGGCCCGGGAGGGGGAAGAGCAAGAAUUGUCUGGAGAAGAGCGGUCAGAGAAGGGACGGACGAAGCGUUUGAUGAUUGUGCAGAUUUUUGGAGAAGCAUGAUGAUUGUUGACGAAGGGAUAGUGGGAAUAUUCUGGAGAGCAAGCAUAAUAUUUUCCUGUCAUAAUCAUUAGUAAACGAACAUAACAAGGAGUGACAUUCAAUUUACCCAAUCGCCAAGCGGUAAUAACCCGUCCACGACGACACCUUCCUUCCACAUGCCAUCACUCACAACCCUUCUGCUUACAAGGUCCCUCAAAACUUCACCGGCAUAGACGCCUUUUGGCUUGCCAUCUUCGUUUAGAGCCGCCCCAAACACGACACCGACCACUUUUCUAACGAAUUUGUCACUGAAGACGCCCUCUACGGUAUCAGACUCUUUUGCAACCCAGUCUCUCCAAGCCUUCUGAACUCCGGUCACGUCCUUGCUCUUCAAAGCCUUUUCGAGUCCUUCAAGGACCUUGUCUUGUUUCUUCUCCAAUUCACUCUUUCCUUGCUUCUUCUCCGCCACCUCAACCUCCAGAUACUCUCUUGUCCUUGUCUUGCUACCAAGAAGCAAUCCCAUCCCCACGCCACGCUCAGGUAAAGCUACUUCGCAUGUGUAAAGCACACUCCUACCGCUAGAUCCUUCUCCUUCACUGUGCUUAUGAGAGAGCACGACACCGAUUGUGUAGACCCCAGAGCGAACGGAAAGGAUAGAUAGAGCAGAAAUGGUGCCAGAAGAGGUGAAUGAAGAAAGCGGGGUGGUGGUGAGGAUUGUGGGCAAGUUGGAGGCAGGAAUGGCGAGAAGAAGAGAAGGAGAUGGAUGGGGGGUGGGAAGAAGGACGAGGGGAAGGGUAGGUGAAGGAAGAGAGAGAAGAAGAGACGCAGAUGAAGGGUGAAGGAGACGAACAGGGGAAGAGGGUGUCGAGAGAGUCCGAACAGAGGUGGUGUAGAGAUUAUGUUGUUCAUCUUGAGACAUUGAUUGUCAGCAAUAAAGCUUUGAUAUUGACUGUGGACGUACCGAGCACAGUAAUGACGCCAUCGUCGCUAACAUCCCCAGCCACUAACUUGCCGUUGCCAACCUUCCCUUCUGAUAUCCUCUCCAGCCGCCUAUCCUCAAUCCAAACCUUGGUCACUUCGAUCCGUCCUGUUCUGUCAACAAGAACGACCCUAACAGAGUGUUUGGUCUCCUGGAGGAUGACUCGGGAAGCGAGAAGCUCAGGUGAUUUCAAAGAGGAGGUGGUGAUUGAAUAGGAUUGUAAUUUAGAGUCGAGAAGAUAGAAUUGGGCGGAGGAAGAGAUGAGCAACAGGGGCGUCGUUGGAGAUGGAAGAU